GUCAAGAUGGCCGAGUGGUCUAAGGCGCCAGACUCAAGGUUUGGUCUUCGUGAGAGGGCGUGGGUUCAAAUCCCACUUCUGACA
RNAcentral lists this transfer RNA (84 nucleotides) under Ipomoea nil (Japanese morning glory). It matches the Rfam family "tRNA". Rfam says of the family: Transfer RNA (tRNA) molecules are approximately 80 nucleotides in length. Their secondary structure includes four short double-helical elements and three loops (D, anti-codon, and T loops). Further hydrogen bonds mediate the characteristic L-shaped molecular structure. tRNAs have two regions of fundamental functional importance: the anti-codon, which is responsible for specific mRNA codon recognition, and the 3' end, to which the tRNAs corresponding amino acid is attached (by aminoacyl-tRNA synthetases). tRNAs cope with the degeneracy of the genetic code in two manners: having more than one tRNA (with a specific anti-codon) for a particular amino acid; and 'wobble' base-pairing, i.e. permitting non-standard base-pairing at the 3rd anti-codon position. Lineage: Eukaryota; Viridiplantae; Streptophyta; Magnoliopsida; Solanales; Convolvulaceae. The record is from Rfam by way of RNAcentral.